AUUGAACGCUGGCGGCAGGCCUAACACAUGCAAGUCGAGCGGAUGAAGGGAGCUUGCUCCUGGAUUCAGCGGCGGACGGGUGAGUAAUGCCUAGGAAUCUGCCUGGUAGUGGGGGAUAACGUCCGGAAACGGGCGCUAAUACCGCAUACGUCCUGAGGGAGAAAGUGGGGGAUCUUCGGACCUCACGCUAUCAGAUGAGCCUAGGUCGGAUUAGCUAGUUGGUGGGGUAAAGGCCUACCAAGGCGACUAUCCGUAACUGGUCUGAGAGGAUGAUCAGUCACACUUGAACUGAGACACGGUCCAGACCCCUACGGGCGGCAGCAGUGGGGAAUAUUGGACAAUGGGCGAAAGCCUGAUCCAGCCACGCCGCGUGUGUGAAGAAGGUCUUCGGAUUGUAAAGCACUUUAAGUUGGGAGGAAGGGCAGUAAGUUAAUACCUAGCUGUUUUGACGUUCCAACAGAAUAAGCACCGGCUAACUUCGUG
This 483-nucleotide ribosomal RNA is filed under the name uncultured bacterium. RNAcentral's name for it is "partial 16S ribosomal RNA". It matches the Rfam family "Bacterial small subunit ribosomal RNA", at positions 30 to 507 of the family's 1533-position model. The record is from RNAcentral.